This 301-nucleotide ribosomal RNA is filed under the name uncultured bacterium. RNAcentral describes it as "partial 16S ribosomal RNA". It matches the Rfam family "Bacterial small subunit ribosomal RNA", at positions 509 to 807 of the family's 1533-position model. The record is from RNAcentral.
CAGCCGCCGCGGUAAUACGUAGGGUGCGAGCGUUAAUCGGAAUUACUGGGCGUAAAGCGUGCGCAGGCGGUUCGUUAAGACAGAUGUGAAAUCCCCGGGCUUAACCUGGGAACUGCAUUUGUGACUGGCGGGCUAGAGUAUGGCAGAGGGGGGUAGAAUUCCACGUGUAGCAGUGAAAUGCGUAGGGAUGUGGAGGAAUACCGAUGGCGAAGGCAGCCCCCUGGGCCAAUACUGACGCUCAUGCACGAAAGCGUGGGGAGCAAACAGGAUUAGAUACCCGAGUAGUCCCUGUCUCUUAUAC